UGGAAACCCAGCAAACUCAGAAACUUGUCUUAAGGUUACAUAGCUGUGAGUUGCACAUCGUCUGUUCCAAACCCAGAAGCGUCUGCCCCAAAGUGCAUGUUCUGGUCCUCACUGCCUGUGAAUGUUGUGAUCUGUCCAGGUGAGAUGGAGGAGCUGGAGACCCUGUGGCUCACUGGGAUCUGCCACAACGAGAAGAACGAGGUGAUGAGCAGCCAGCUGGACAUUGACAACAUGGCGGGCGUAUUCUACAUGCUGGCUGCCGCCAUGGCCCUUAGCCUCAUCACCUUCAUCUGGGAGCACCUCUUCUACUGGAAGCUGCGCUUCUGUUUCACAGGCGUGUGCUCCGACCGGCCUGGAUUGCUCUUCUCCAUCAGCAGGGGCAUUUACAGCUGCAUUCAUGGAGUGCACAUUGAAGAAAAGAAGAAGUCUCCAGACUUCAAUCUGACGGGAUCCCAGAGCAACAUGUUAAAACUCCUCCGGUCAGCCAA
This 488-nucleotide small RNA is filed under the name Pan troglodytes (chimpanzee). RNAcentral's name for it is "retained intron". The record is from RNAcentral. Lineage: Eukaryota; Metazoa; Chordata; Mammalia; Primates; Hominidae.